This 363-nucleotide long non-coding RNA is filed under the name Homo sapiens (human). RNAcentral describes it as "HSALNT0366031". Lineage: Eukaryota; Metazoa; Chordata; Mammalia; Primates; Hominidae. The record is from RNAcentral.
AUUCUUCAGCCCUGCACUCUGGAAUGUUCACAGGGUGUCUGUGCAUCUCCCCUGAUUCCAGCCCACAGGACACUUGCUCUCUCUUUCUUGUGACCCCAACAUGUCAGCUGGCAAGACUCAACAUUCCUGUCUGGGACUGAGCAGCUUGAACCACUUGUAUGAGUCACAGAAAAGGAGAAUCAUACCCCCAUUCCACCACCCCACUCCAACCCCUCCACUGUGGCUCCAAUGUUACAGACCACUCCUAACUUCAGUCCCGGAAGAAUGGAAGGAAGGCUGCAACUUAAGAGACUGCGGUUAGAAGUGAUCUUCAUAAAUUGUUUGCCUUGCCUGUGUCUAGAGUCCUUAAGGUAUGGGUCCUCC